GAGGGAUUCUGGGUAAUGUCAUUAUGGAGAUCAUCUACCUGCUGGCUGGAGAGGUGAGGGAUUCUGGGUAAUGUCAUUAUGGAGAUCAUCUACCUGCUGACUGGAGAGGUGAGGGAUUCUGGGUAAUGUCACCAUGGAGAUCAUCUACCUGCUGGCUGGAGAGGUGAGGGAUUCUGGGUAAUGUCAUAUGGAGAUCAUCUACCUGCUGACUGGAGAGGUGAGGGAUUCUGGGUAAUGUCAUUAUGGAGAUCAUCUACCUGCUGACUGGAGAGGUGAGGGAUUCUGGGUAAUGUCAGU
Non-coding RNA from Pelobates cultripes (western spadefoot toad), 297 nucleotides. The record is from the annotation of a GenBank genome assembly. NCBI's taxonomy places the organism in Eukaryota, Metazoa, Chordata, Amphibia, Anura, Pelobatidae.